RNAcentral lists this ribosomal RNA (234 nucleotides) under uncultured bacterium. RNAcentral describes it as "partial 16S ribosomal RNA". It matches the Rfam family "Bacterial small subunit ribosomal RNA", at positions 100 to 334 of the family's 1533-position model. The record is from RNAcentral.
CGGGACGGGUGAGUAAUGUCUGGGGAACGUGCCUGAUGGAGGGGGAUAACUACUGGAAACGGUAGCUAAUACCGCAUAACGUCGCAAGACCAAAGAGGGGGACCUUCGGGCCUCUUGCCAUCGGAUGUGCCCAGAUGGGAUUAGCUAGUAGGUGGGGUAACGGCUCACCUAGGCGACGAUCCCUAGCUGGUCUGAGAGGAUGACCAGCCACACUGGAACUGAGACACGGUCCAG